Non-coding RNA from Danio rerio (zebrafish), 836 nucleotides. The record is from Ensembl. NCBI's taxonomy places the organism in Eukaryota, Metazoa, Chordata, Actinopteri, Cypriniformes, Danionidae.
GACCGGCGGUAAAGAGCCUCGAGAGUGAAUGUUAAUUUUUCGAAAGGAGAAGUCCUCUAUUUUAGCUUCAUCAUUCAGCCUGAAAACUGAACUGCAUCAUAAAACUUGUGCUUGAAAAGUGUCAUGGGACCCAUAUUAACUUUGCAGAAGAAGGAUUCCAGCUUAAAUAAAAACACGUGUCACAUCCAUAAUUGUUUGACAUCAUCUUCAAGCACACCUGGAUUCCUUGUUGCAAUGUCUUCAAAACAAAUGUAAAAAUGAAAGCAUUAAAGUGGUGAGCUCAUAAUGAUGGGAUCAAAAGGAAGUGAACUGGACUCUGAGGAACUUAACACAAGAUUGUGAUGGACCUAGAAUGCAACACCGUUUACGAAUAAGUCAAGAACCAAAUGAAACACUAUUUUCCAGAGCGCAGAUUAUGGAAGGGUCUGCAAAACUAAUGGAGCAGUUUCUUCUUCUUGGAGUGCCACAGCUUGAUGCUGCAUAUAAGGACUUAGUGAAGAACACAGAAACAUCUUUAAAAGAAAUGGCCCAAAAGAAGGGAAGGAAAGAAGGAAUACGCAGCAUUAUAAUAUUGUUUUACAGAAAUCCAAAGGUCCUAACAGCUCUCCUGAUUCCGUCAAGGCUUGAAGUGUCAGCAUUACGUUGGCCUACACUCCCUCACUUGCCUUCCGCUCCCUCAUUUAUCAGAGGCACCACAGUAGAAUGAAUUAGCAAUUACUUUUCACUUUCCAGCCGCAACCCAGCUCUGGGAAACACCUAUACACUCUCUCAUACACCUGCACACAUUCACUCACUGUGGCCAAUUCACCAAUACCAUACGCAUGCCUUUGGACUGU